UUUUGACCUCGGAUCAGGUAGGGAUACCCGCUGAACUUAAGCAA
Molecule: ribosomal RNA, 44 nt
Filed under: Neosetophoma garethjonesii
Lineage: Eukaryota; Fungi; Ascomycota; Dothideomycetes; Pleosporales; Phaeosphaeriaceae
Description: partial 28S ribosomal RNA
Source: RNAcentral